Molecule: ribosomal RNA, 542 nt
Filed under: uncultured bacterium
Lineage: Bacteria
Description: bacterial SSU rRNA
Rfam family: Bacterial small subunit ribosomal RNA
Source: RNAcentral
AACCUUACCUGGCCUUGACAUACUAAGAACUUUCCAGAGAUGGAUUGGUGCCUUCGGGAACUUAGAUACAGGUGCUGCAUGGCUGUCGUCAGCUCGUGUCGUGAGAUGUUGGGUUAAGUCCCGCAACGAGCGCAACCUUUUCCUUAUUUGCCAGCGGGUUAAGCCGGGAACUUUAAGGAUACUGCCAGUGACAAACUGGAGGAAGGCGGGGACGACGUCAAGUCAUCAUGGCCCUUACGGCCAGGGUUACACACGUGCUACAAUGGUCGGUACAAAGGGUUGCUACCUCGCGAGAGGAUGCUAAUCUCAAAAAGCCGAUCGUAGUCCGGAUCGCAGUCUGCAACUCGACUGCGUGAAGUCGGAAUCGCUAGUAAUCGCGGAUCAGAAUGCCGCGGUGAAUACGUUCCCGGGCCUUGUACACACCGCCCGUCACACCAUGGGAGUUUGUUGCACCAGAAGUAGGUAGUCUAACCGCAAGGAGGACGCUUACCACGGUGUGGCCGAUGACUGGGGUGAAGUCGUAACAAGGUAGGCGUAGAUGA